RNAcentral lists this long non-coding RNA (7219 nucleotides) under Sus scrofa (pig). Its description in RNAcentral is "lncRNA (ENSSSCG00035047734.1)". Lineage: Eukaryota; Metazoa; Chordata; Mammalia; Artiodactyla; Suidae. The record is from RNAcentral.
ACAUGGAACAGACCCAAGCCAAGCCCAGCUGAGUUCAGCCAACCUGUGGACCCAAGAGUAAAAAGAAAGAUAUGUCUGCUGUAAGCCACUGAGAUCUGGGGAUUAUUUGUUACAUAGCCAUGUCACAGCCACGCCUGACUAAUGAGUGUUCAUGAUUUUCUUUACAUGGAACCGCUCUAAUACUUGGAUCUGAGAUGCUCACUCUGAUGCAUAUCACUGAAGAAUUGAGGUCUAAGAAGCAGUCUUUUCCCCUUCAGACUUCUUUCCAUGGCCUCUUCCCAGAAUGUGCAUCUCCUACAUUUUCAGGACAGUUAAUCGCAUUGAAAAAUUCUGUCCAACAAGCCACUCUACAGACUCUCAGCCUUGCCAGUGCCUGACAAGGGCUAUUCUUGUUGUGGGAGGACCUCAGCUUUAUGGGGAGGAUGAUGGGGCUGAAGCUCAGAGAGACAGAGGGGCCUACGAAGCUGCAGCAGCAGGAGCAGAAAGCACAGCCGUAGGGCCUUCUGGAAAGAACAGAGAAGAAGAGCGGCCCUAUGCUGGCGCCGCACGAGGACAUCGUAAACCUGAACCAGGAUGUUCUUUGUGAUGACAGGGUAAUGGGGAGGUGGACGGAGUUGUUGGUAUGAGGGAUCAAGCUGUUCUAUUCAGGAGAGGGAAUGAAGAGUGAUGAGAAGAGAUGCUGCUCAAGCUGCUCAGAGCCUAGAGGGGAGACCUGAGACCUUAAAGAAGCAGACAGAAGGAGGAAGGGAGGAUCACGGGCCUUUCGUCGGUUCUACACGGUGUCACUUUACGGCAGAUUUCACGUGGGUGGCAGAGCUGAGCCUUUGCCGCGUGUUCCAGCUCCCAACUCCAUCCCUUUCUGGAUUCCCUGCUGGACACGUUCUUUCCUCUGGGACUAGCACACUUGGAUUUGGCUCAGUUCCUUCUGGAAGCCGAAGAUGAGCAGGAAGGGAGGAUCACGGGCCUUUCGUCGGUUCUACACGGUGUCACUUUACGGCAGAUUUCACGUGGGUGGCAGAGCUGAGCCUUUGCCGCGUGUUCCAGCUCCCAACUCCAUCCCUUUCUGGAUUCCCUGCUGGACACGUUCUUUCCUCUGGGACUAGCACACUUGGAUUUGUCUCAGUUCCUUCUGGAAGCUGAAGAUGAGCAGGUAAGUUCCCUUUCCACUUCUGGGCAUUUACCUGGUCCUGGAUAGUUGUGACCCAGUGCUCAGUCUGGCAUUUUUGGUUUGCCUGCUCAGGUUUCUUUUUGUGUUUGAUGUUGAGAUUUUGAAGUUUGCCUUUUCUGUGCCGGUGAGUCUAGUGUCCUGGGUCUGGCAUUCCCGAGCCUAACUUCAAAUACACAGGCUACCUUCUUCUCCUGCUUCUUUUCCAAGCAUGGCUUAUUAAUUCAGCUGAACAAUGUUGUUGCUAUUUCUAUUGACUGUAAGGUGAUGUGAGAGGCGGGGCUAUGGUGAUAAGGGGGUGGAGCCAUGGUGAUGAGGGAGAUGGAAAAGUCAAGAGAUUGAAAAGUCAAGAGUUGAGUCUCAUCCUUGCUCUUACGUCUCCUGAAAUUCUGGAUCAAGACCCUCAGAGUGUAGUAGUAACCAGCCUGAAAGUGCCUGUUACUCUUUUGAAAACCAUCGGCAUUGUUUUGGGGCCUGCCAGACUCUGAGGUCCUCGGGGGAGGCAGACACACAAUCUCACUGCUGACUGCCAGGGGUAUCCCAGGAAUGCAUCUCCAAGUCAGUUUUUUUUUUUUUUUUUUUUUAGAAUGUAAAACAUAUUUUCUUGUGAAUGGCAGUUCUAUGAAAACUGAUUAAGAUUCUUGACUGUUCUUCAAAAUCUUUUAAAAUGCUAGGAAGUAAGUAAACAGGAGUUUGUUAAAUUAUUUUCUGUUUUUGUUUUUUUUGGUAUGUUUGAAAUAUUUCAUAUGUAAAAAUAAAAUAAUUCAAUUUAAUGCAUAGUAUUCUGACCUCCGUGCAUCCUGGGAAGAGGGUCAAUAGAGAUGAGGGAGGGGAAGUUAAGGAAGGAAGACAAUUCUCUUUCUCUUGAUUUGUUUUGGGCACAACUUUGAAACAGGGUAGCUAUGUCCUUGGCUUUUUCAUGCUUUCCCUUCUGCAACCUCACCUGCCUCUCACUUCAUCCAGGGUGACAGUCCCAUUCCAGGCAGCCCUUGAACACUGUACUUUCCAAAUGUUCUCUGCCUUCAAAAUUGGGGUGUGGCUAGAAGUGUUUCGAAAGUGCUUCAAUUAUCUAUUGAUGCUCAAUAAAUUGUCUUGAAAUGUGGUGUCUUAAAACAGCUAUUUUAUUUGGUCACACCCUGUGGGUCAGGAAGUAGGAUAGGGCAUAUGGGGAUAGAUGGUUGACAGUCUGUGUGUGAUCCAUGAUGUCUGGUCAGGAAAAGUUUAACAUUGAACAUAGUGAUUAGGAAUGUGGGGAUGUGGGAUCAGAUUGCUGGGGCCCAAAUCCUAGUUUUUCCAUGUAUUAGCUGAUGAAAUAAUGAUAAUCAUAGCCACUAACCUCAUAUGAGUAUUGUCUUCAAGUUGACUUUCAGGUGCAUUCUAGUAUUUAGUCUAGACUGCCCAACUCUGCUGAUAAUGGUGGUAUUGUUAUAUUAUCAUUGCCAUUUACACUUAACCUUGAAAACUCAGCCUAGGCAUAUACAGGCAAGUUCUGGGGUUAGGCUGUUAAGGUCUCACAUGGGAAGGAUAGGCAUUUUGUCCUGUAGACAAAGAGGAAUUUCCAGCUGGGGAAUGACAGGAUCAAGCCCCUUCUCCCUCCCUUAUUCCUGCUCCCUCUGCCCUUUCUUCCUCAUUUCCUCUUCUCUCCCCACUUUAAAACGAUGACAGUAUGUUCAAGUUGUGCAAAUCAAAGGAAUAGAUUAGAAACAGGAGAAUAAAUGUGCUUAGCAGACCCAGGAAAUCUCCAGGGGAUUGGAAUUGAUUACCCAGCAUGUAAUAUACAAAACCAUCAUUUUUCUGCAUGUGGUGAACAAUGGUGAACAAUGGAAGUGAAGUAACUCCCCACUCCAGUCCCCCUAAUCUGAUGGAAUUUUCUCAGUAAUGUUGUGGAGUCAUAGGGGUGAGCAUGCACCAACUGGGCCAAUUCCCACUGGCCUUUAUUUUCUGGAAGGGUUGGCAGCAGAGGAAGACCAGAACCUUUUCCAGUGCACAUACCUACUUUAAUUUGGAGAGGAUUCUGCCUGUCCUGGGAGAUGCUGCGACCUUGGGAAGUUGUGUGGAUGAAAAGAUACAUGCUUUAUAUCAGAGACUUAAAAAAUAUAUCCUGUUAUCUUUCGCCAUGUAAGGAAGGACUUCUUUACAUGGGAUCUGUGUGAACCCCAUAUGGUCCCAUUGUCAUCUGGGGUGGUCCUGGUAUUGGACUUCACUGGAUCCAACAGGGCCAAAUUUACUUCAGUAAUUGGAAAAUCUUGACUGUAUGAUGGGUGCAGGUUAGAGAAUGUUAGGCAGUCAUAAGCUUCAGAGUUUGUUUUGUAGUUCCUUUUAGUUUCAGUUGAGAUUGGCCAUAAGAACUUCGCUUUUCAUGGGUUCAAGUAACCAUGGGGCUGAAUUUCACUUAGUACUCAUCUUUUUUUUUGAUUCUGAAGGUUGGAUUUAUUUGAAUAAAGGGACAAGGGUAACAUGAGCUGCCAACCUAUAUGACGUUUUUGUAUGUAGUAGAAAAAAGCACUCUUUUAUGGCAUAUGUAGCACAUCAAAGUCAUGACUUAGGAGCAAGCAUGGCUAUAUUUUAGCCCCCUAGUUAUCUCCUGAAGGGAGAGUCUAUGCAGUGCCCAACUCACACGUCCAAAUGUGGCAGCCUUGUGUGAAGGGAAAGUAUAUAAUAAUAGGCUGACUUAGUAAUUCAGAAGUGUGCCUGAGCUUGGGACAUCCUUUCUGAUUCAGUAGGUUUUGAUUAGUGGCUUAGAGUUUCUGAUUUAGUAGGUCUGAGGUAGGGCCCAAGAAUUUGGAUUUCUAGUAGGUUCCUAAGUGAUGCCAGUAACCCUGGCCUGGGAGUUACAUUUCGAGCACCACUUCUGUGGGGUGUAAUUCCAUGACCCAGAUUUCCUCACUUCCAGGUGCUAGUUACCUGAUUUGCUCAUCAAACUCAAAUAUGCUUCUUUAUACAGUGGUGUAGGUUGGUCCCAAAUAUAUGGCUUCACUGAAACUUUCUGGAAGAGGAUUCUUCUAGCUGUUUUCCUAGCACUUACUUCCCUGUACUCUAGGAGGCCAUUGAUAAAUUUGGGUCUGUGGCACCUCAACCAGCUCAGCCAUCAGCAUCAGAGUAGAGUUGAACCAGUUCUCCUUUUCUAGACCCUUUGUAUCCUUCAUAAUUCUCUCCUGGAGUAUUGCUUCUUGGACUCAAAUGUCGCGUGCUUGAUUUUAGUCUAGAGAUUUAUUUUUAUAUAGUCUGGAGAAAACACUGCUAUUUUUUGUCAUCUAAGUGCAAAAAACAAAACAAAACUUAGUGUACUAGGAAAUUAUGCAGAGACAGUUUAAUACUUGGACAACUUAAAACAUGUGUGCGCAUGCACAGGGGCUUUCUCAGAGACAUCACUGAGUGAAUAAUAGGCUGCCUGGGCCCUUACAGCAGAGCCAAUGAAAUUUAGUUUUGCUCGAGUUUGGUUAUUGGUGUUAUGAUGCUCCCUCUGGGCCAUCAAGGAGUGAAACUGGGGCGCUCAUUUUUGGAGCUGUUGAAGUUUCAAGCUCCUUUGAGGUAUUGGCAGUGGGCUUGGCAUGCUUUCAGAUGUGGAUGGCUUUCCCACUAAUACCUCACAGGCCCAUGGGACAUUUUUUUAAAAGUUUGAGCACCAAGUCAACCCAUCUCCUUAGUGGCAGUAGUUGCUUUAUCUGUGAGAAUAACUGUCCUUCUUAGCUUCUCAAUUUGUCACCUGUGCAGUGAUUUAUUACCUUCCAAAGCUGCAGUAAUUAUAUAAUGAUGCAAAAAUAAUGACAAGCCAUUCUGAUAAACUUUAUUACCUGUAGCAUCUUGUAUUCAAACUGCAUUCUAGCACACUCUGUAGGAUUACCAAGCACCCCUACAUGUGUGACAGCCAGCAGGGAGGGCGGCUUCUCAGGUCUGAGAGGAAAAGAGGAAAAGAAACAGGAUUCAAGCUUCCUGAACAGAGGCUGGGAAGAAUUGGGUUGGGGUGAGUUGAUUCCCAUUUGGGGCACAGGCCAAAUGGACUUAUCUCCAUUUAUAUCCCAACAAUUCAGUAUUUACUUGCCUAUUUUAAAUUGGGGCUAUAGAAUUGGCUCUUUAAACAAUCUUCAAUGAAAUAUAUAGUCAAAAGAAUGUAUAUAAAUGAUGUGCAGUUGAACUCUUAUUUUUAUCUUGAACCCGCACCUUUAGAGCCUCUCCUUUUUAUCAGAUGACAAAGUUUCCCCUGGAGCUGUGUUGCGAGGCACUGUCCAGUGUUCUAGUCUUGAGAGUGAAGAACUCAAGAAGGCUGACUUACAAAGUAACUUUCAGAUUUGCUUCUCAUUUUGGAAAAAUAUCUGAACUUAAAAUAUCUUUCAUGGGGAAUUGAGAACUGAGAUACAAAAUCAUAAUGUGGCUGGUAAGAGAGUUCUUUUAGUAAAUGCAGCUUGCCUAAUUUGGGUCUGUGGUUGGAGGGUCAGGUCUUCAAUUAUUUUCCUGAACCGAGGAGUAAUGAAGUCCCUAUAGCUGACUGUGGAGGCCAGGAUAAUGGAUAGGGGUCCUGUGCUGUCUUCCAUCUCCUUCCUGAUGACCAGCCAGUGACCUCAGGCAAUGCUUGUUUCUUUUAUGAUGGAUUCUCCUGGGAUUGUACCAGGGGGCUUAGGCCAGGCCUGUGUCCAGAGUUGGGGGGAGGUGCUUAAAAAUGAGGAAAAGUCAUGAUUAUAUCAGAGUACAGAUGAUUCCAGUACUACCAGUGCCCACAUUUCUCAUCUUGACAGGCUCUUAGUCGGAUUACAUUUCCUAGCCUCUUUUACAGUUAGAUGGGAACAUGUGACCUAUUCUGACCAAUAGAAUGUAGGUAUUUCCAGGACCGGCCACAAAUCUCCCAAGCGUGGCUCUCCCUUCUCUUUUUCUACCGCCUGACACCAGAGAAGGACUAUGUAAGACAGAAGAACUGUAGAUGGAAGUGGCCUUAGAAGUUGAGUUACUUCUUAAAGGAGAGACUCCUAGGAGUCCACAGAACUGUAAUGUGAAAGAGAAAUCUUUUUUUGUGUUAAAACAUUGAAGUUCCAGGGUCAACUUGUUACUCUAGCAUAAUUUACCCUGUUCUGACUUCUUGGCUCUGAGAAUCCGUGGAUGAGGUUAUUCCUAUGCCCACAACUAUGCCUAGGAAUCCUGAAAUCUGGCCCAGGUCUUUCUAGGGUCACAUCUGCUAGGGGUUGAAUUGGAGCUGUAGCUGCCAGGCUUCACCACAGCCACAGCAACGCUGGGUCCCUAACCCACUGAGAAAGGCCACGGAUUUAACCCACAUCCUCAUGGAUACUAGUGGCGUUCAUUAUGGCCUAGGUCUUUCUGAUUGGCCAGGGCUGUGCUUUCUUCUUCUGAGUUCUCAAAAUUGGGAAGUAUCUCAGCAUGAGAAUGGUGAUUUGAACCCUGGAGAUCUGUGGGUCGGGAAUUUACGAGUAGCUUUGCUGGGUAGCUCUGGCCGAGGGUCUCACAUGUGGUUGCAGUCAAAAUGUUGGCGGCAGUCCAGUCCUCUGAAAGCUUGAUUGGGGAUGGAGAGAUUUGUUUCCAAAAUGGUCCCUCAGGUGGUUGUGGGCAGGAGACCUCAGUUCCUCACCAUGUAGGCUUCUGCAAAGUCUUCCUGGGCAUCCUUACAAUGUGACAGCUGAUAAGAGUAAGUGGUUCAACAGAAAGAGAAAAUAAGGAAGAAGCCUUGGGAUCUUUUAUGAUCUGAGGUCACACGCCACCACUUCUGCUUUGCUAUAGUCACUCAAAGCAAAUCACUAAGUUGGGCACCUGUUCCAGAGAAGGAGAAUUGGCCUCCACCUCUUGGAGGGAGGAGUGAAAAAGGAUGUGUGGACAUAUUUUGAAACUAUCACAUCCAGUACCAAGCUUUCUUUGCUUAGCUACACUGGGCUACUCUCCAACCCUUGACACAUGAGGUGUAUUCUUAGAUUUUGAACUCCCCCUACAGUACUUUUGCCCCAUCUUCCAGAUUUCCAAUUCUCACUGGACUGUAGCCUUACCCAGGAGUUACCUUUGGAAAAGAUCUGAUGAACUCAUUCAGGCAGGUUGUAAAAUAAAAAAAAAAAAAAA